Molecule: ribosomal RNA, 487 nt
Filed under: uncultured bacterium
Lineage: Bacteria
Description: bacterial SSU rRNA
Rfam family: Bacterial small subunit ribosomal RNA
Source: RNAcentral
CAGAUUGAACGCUGGCGGCAGGCCUAACACAUGCAAGUCGAGCGGUAGAGAGGUGCUUGCAUCUCUUGAGAGCGGCGGACGGGUGAGUAAUGCCUAGGAAUCUGCCUAGUGGUGGGGGAUAACGUUCGGAAACGGACGCUAAUACCGCAUACGUCCUACGGGAGAAAGCGGGGGAUCUUCGGACCUCGCGCCAUUAGAUGAGCCUAGGUCGGAUUAGCUAGUUGGUGAGGUAAUGGCUCACCAAGGCGACGAUCCGUAACUGGUCUGAGAGGAUGAUCAGUCACACUGGAACUGAGACACGGUCCAGACUCCUACGGGAGGCAGCAGUGGGGAAUAUUGGACAAUGGGCGAAAGCCUGAUCCAGCCAUGCCGCGUGUGUGAAGAAGGUCUUCGGAUUGUAAAGCACUUUAAGUUGGGAGGAAGGGUAGUAACCUAAUACGUUGCUACUUUGACGUUACCGACAGAAUAAGCACCGGCUAACUUCGUG